CCCUAUAAUUUUUGAUCGAUGCUAACUGCAUAAUAAAAUGUCAUCAUGCAACAUCUUAUAUGGUUAUGUAUUGUUUUGUUCCAGAAUUUACCAUGAGAUGUCAAGAAUUAGGAUGAGAAUCGGAUGUUGGAGACUGAGCACAUGUUGCAGGUAUCGUGGCGAGAAUGGGAGGAGCGACGGUGUAGCCGAGGGAGAGGGAAUAUGCGACCUGAAAGACAUGUUGAGACAAAAAAAAGAAAGAGAAAGAACAUUCAAACAUGUGGUGUUAGGAGGGGGAGAGACCUUGUCUUUUAUAAUUAUCGUGAUAUUUUUUGAAGGUUAGGUAACUCCUCACUGCUAGGUAACACAUCAGUUUUAUCCAUUUCAUCCUGAAAAUCAGUAAUUCAUUAAUGAGUGACAAACAAAUAGAGGUACUAUGUAAAUCUGUUACAGAGUACAAGUAAAGUGAUUUUUUCUAAGGCUGGCAAGUGCUUUAGAUAUUUGAAGCCUACAAAUAGCUCAUACUCUUUAUCGGAAGCAUAUGAACUUGAU
This is a long non-coding RNA of Lolium rigidum, 531 nucleotides long. RefSeq lists it as uncharacterized. The record is from RefSeq and is a predicted model, not a curated record. Lineage: Eukaryota; Viridiplantae; Streptophyta; Magnoliopsida; Poales; Poaceae. The transcript is spliced from 2 exons.